RNAcentral lists this ribosomal RNA (497 nucleotides) under uncultured bacterium. Its description in RNAcentral is "partial 16S ribosomal RNA". It matches the Rfam family "Bacterial small subunit ribosomal RNA", at positions 28 to 507 of the family's 1533-position model. The record is from RNAcentral.
GAUGAACGCUGGCGGCGUGCCUAAUACAUGCAAGUCGAGCGAACGGACGAGAAGCUUGCUUCUCUGAUGUUAGCGGCGGACGGGUGAGUCACACGUGGAUAACCUCCCUAUCAGACUGGGAUAACUUCGGGAAACCGGCGCUUAUACCGGAUAAUAUUUUGCACCGCAUGGUUCAAAAGUGAAAGACGGUCUUGCUGUCACUUAUAGAUGGAUCCGCGCUGCAUUAGCUGGUUGGUACGGUAAAGGCUUACCAAGGCAACGAUGCCUCGCCGACCUGAGAGGCGGAUCGCCCACACUGGAGCGUGGACACGGUCCUGGCGCCUACGGGAGGCAGCAGUAGGGAAUCGUACGCAAUGGGCGAAAGCCUGACGGAGCAACGCCGCGUGAGUGAUGAAGGUCUUCGGAUCGGAAAGCUCUGUUAUGAGGGAAGAACAUAUGUGUAAGUAACUGUGCACAUCGUGACGGUACCUAAUCAGAAAGCCACGGCUAACUACGUG